Molecule: small nuclear RNA, 230 nt
Filed under: Podarcis muralis (Common wall lizard)
Lineage: Eukaryota; Metazoa; Chordata; Lepidosauria; Squamata; Lacertidae
Description: U2 spliceosomal RNA (ENSPMRG00000010614.1)
Source: RNAcentral
AUUUUCUCAUGACCUUUUGGGUAAGAUCAAGCAUAAUAUAUGUUCUUAUCAGUUUAAUAGGCUGUUCACUGCUUUGGGGGCCUUUAGGCUGAAAAGCAGUUUAUAUAAACAAAUUGUAGUCGUAAUAAUACAAUGGUUGUAAGGAUUUGGGGAUAGAUUUAGACUCCCAGUAGGGAUGAAUGCCUAUUGAUAGACAGUGCUGCUUUAAAGCAUUGUACUGUUAAAUUUCC